UUUAGGGCGAAGUCCCAGUUACUAAAGCGAAGUUGCGGAUUCCCUCGCUAACUGGCUGGCACAGAGGUGGGGAGGGGGAGGGGCUGCCCGCCUCCUCGGGAGUUCGCCCUCCGAAAUGCCGGGGGCAAAGAACACUGCGGUGCCUGGCACCGGAAGCCCUGGAGCACUCGCGUCUCCGGGGAUCCGCCACGGGAGACGGGAAAGGCGCGCUCACCUGGACAGCGCGGCUCAGCGGCACAGAAUGCUGUCGCCCUGUUUGUUCACCGCGCCGGCCUGGAACAGCAACGGAACAGCAAGGGAAAGGUCAAGCCAGUUUUCCUUGGAAGUAUGGAGUGACCACCAAAGGCAAAAGUAAACUAUCUGUCCUGUUGAUAAAACUGUAAACAAGAAGUAAGUCAAUAGAAAAGUCCAUUUUUACCAACUUUCUUUGUGGAGAGUCAGGUGCUGAUUUAUGUUGUGGAACAGCCAAACACUAUGUAAGGUCCUGUCUGGGUACCAGCCAAAAGAGUAAAGCCUUAUCAUGAGCGGGACAGUCACCAAGCUCUGCUACCUGAAGCCAAGAACCAAUCGACUGACAGACCAGAUGGCCCAGCUGACCCUGAACGACCAGAAGGAAAAGGGACACUCGCACCAUCACCCACAGGCUGGGUCUGCCAACGGAGAAGGAUGGAGCCUGCCCCGAAGACAGGGGCCAAGGCUCAAAUGCCUGCUGCAGAGGGUAACAACUCCUCGGUGCCCCAUAGUGUUGAAUGGUUGAACCCUAAAAACUGUUUCAAUGGACUGAAUUUAUGAGUUUGGGUCUUGGCAGCCCUUGGAUGCCCCUUUGUCUUAACCCUUAUUUGUGCUUUAUGAUAUAUAUAUGGAGGAUGUUUUCUUGAGAUCGCAUUGAGGAACAGCACAUAGGUUUCACAGGCUUAACAGCUACAAUUGCAUUUACAAUAGAAAAAAGGAGGGAGAUUAGAUGUUGGGAACCUCCCUGCCUGGUUUCAGGAGCUAUAACCCACCAUGGCUAAAGCUGAGCCCAAGGGACCUGCUUCAUCUGGGUCUGUUCUGCCAUGAGGACCUGAACCACUAAGGAGACAAGCCUAUCUUCCUGACAGGAGCACUGCCUCUGCCCGCUUUACUUCACCCUGCCUGGCCCCCAGUGCUUGGUUGGUUAAUCAAUGACAGUUAAGAUCCCUCAAGGGAGGGGUGACCUAAGACAGGCACGAUCACGUGGAGGCCUUCAGGGAAGGACUUGGGGGGCUGUAGAAAAAGAGCGUCAUGGACCCUCGCCCCUCAGCUCUGACAUAGCCUGAGUCCUUUUCCUGUUUGCAAGGCGUCUCCUAAUCUCUUGGCUGCCUUACUUUCCCUACUCAACCUAAGCCUGAAACAAUGCCAGAGGUGGGUGGGGCCCUGUGCUGGAAAGGGUAGGUUCCUUGGGGCAAUCAGGCCUAAGAGAGAAAGCAUUAAAUCCUAUGAAACCUACUUUGCUAAUAUCCUCAAUUUAAAUGAUAAGGGUCCAAACCUGAAAUGAGUUUGUUUCCCUAAAGUUUUAUGGCCCUUUAGCUAUUUGACCCUGACUAAAAAUAGGCCCUCAGAGUUCUUUAAAUGUUAUGCAUUUGAUCAUUACUGCCUGACAAUGAUCGAUGGGCUUUUUCUGAGAAUGUGGGUCUUUGGAACCACUGGUUGCUCAUGGAUUGUAAUAAUGUUCUGUGUACUUUGACGCAUUUGCGAAUUAUUUUCCCAGGGUCCUGUGAGAGACCAGCAAGUAGCAAGUUUUGUGAGAUUCAUAGCGGUCCUAACUAUAAAACAAGGGGGGGCAUGUAGGACACUAUUCUACGUGGGCCCGGUCCCCAGUGGCAAACAUUUACUGCAAAGGAACUUCCUAAAAUCCAUGCUAAACCUUCCAAGGACAAGUGUAACCCGGUUCAACCACUUUCACCUUUUCAUUUACAAACAUCCCUCUUCUGUAAUGUAAUUAGUGGCAUUGGCUCCUUUGUUUUCUGUAAAAGGUAACCACCUAAAGCAACCUAUGCAUAGUAAGUGAGGACCAUCAUGUAAUGUGCCGAGAAACCCAAUAAAGGUCUGUCAUGGUGAGGGCUGUGGCUUUUGCUCCCCUUGAGAGAAAAAGCCAUGCUGUCCCUUUUCUUCCACCGGACUCGGUAGUCCAUGUGAAUGUCUCAUUUCAUCCAUAAUGAUGCAGACACUGUGGGCCGAUGUCUGCAUCACUUCCUUCUGACUUAAAUAGCUUAAAAAAAGGUUAUCUUUCUUCUGAAACUUUGCACUGUUGAACCAGCACUUUGGUGAUGAAGGUACUUGGUCUAUGUCAAUAAUGCUAAUAUUUCAUCUUGCAAGAGAUUCAGCACUUAUUUUAAAGCAUCUCAUUUGCUUUGUGCAUGCCCUGUACGUUACCAUCUAACACAAGAGUCUCAUCUCCAACUCAUCUAGAACUCAGAAAAUAUUUAUAUUCAUGUAGUGGCUGUGUUUUUGAAAUAUAAAGUAUGGCUGUAAAUUAUCAAUUCUGAUUUCCCUGAGUCAUCCAAGAAAACUAGUCACAUUAUGCAAUAGUCUUAUUGCACAGAUAAAUUCUGGUCAUCUUCUACAUUUUUAUUGACUUUUUUUCUCGGAAGUGGAGUCUAUAUAGUUCUAAAAAGAAUUUGCGACAGCUCACCUCCUAUGCAACAGUGCACUGUCAAACUCAAUCUUUCAAUUAAAGAAGGGAAAUAAAUAGCCAGUUCCCCUGUAACUACAUUACCUGAUGCUUGCAAUUUGGGGUAGCGUUUGCAUUCACUCAUUCCUCUCUUCAAAUACCUAAGAUACUUAAACCCAGAGGAGGCUUGACUCCAUUGUAUUAUGGUUCAUUCAUUAUCUACCAAUUUGUCCUAGGUCCUUCUAUUUCCUCUGGAGAUUUAAAUCUUUAUAAUAAUUGUUAUAUAUAUUUAUUUAUUCUGCCCAACAAAUUCUAGAGAAGUAUACUCUGCAAAUAUGGGUUACUUUAAGAAGGUAGUAAAAUAAAUCUCUCUUUCACUAUAUUAAAAACCAUGCCAAAAGUGAUGGCAUUGAUAAAAUGGUAAGGAUUGGAAAUAGACUAACACUGGUUUCCAAAUCUUGGUGUGCAAAACAAUCUUCCGUGUACUUGCUUAAAAUACAGAUAUCUGGUACCCACCCUGUUAUUUUGCUUCAGGUGAUUCGAAUGCAGUGAUUCAAAGGCCACAUUUUUAAAAAUACUGGUCUAAUCAACAGUAAGUAUAAUAAAUUUUAAAAGGAAACACUAUGCAUAUGGAAUUUCAUUGAGCCUAUAGGUAAAGGUAGAUGAUUCAAGAAAGGUUUUUUUUGGAGAGUUAUUUGUACAGAAAUUUCAAGAGCUGAUGUACUAGGAAUGGGAAUGAAUUGGGGAGGGAACAUAGUGGGGAAAGAUGUUGACGAUGAUGGAGUGUCAGCUUGUAGUAGCUACCAUGAACUGAACUGUGACCAGGCACUGUGAAAUGGCUCCACAUUUUAGAUGUACAUCAUUUAAUUUUCUCAGUCCUCAGAGGCAUCAUCUAAAAAUGAAGGACUGAGUGAAAUUAGCAGUUGCAAUAGGCAGAGGAAAUGUAGAUGAAGAACUGUAACAGAGUAAAAGAAAUAAAUCAGAUGUAGAGAUUAAUAAUCUAUAUCAAUAUCUCUGCCUCUAAGUAUACAUAUAAAUUCACUUUCAGAAGUCUAAUCACUAAUCACUAAAUCCUAGUGUUAAUGUAGAUACUAUAUUUUCAAACUUUGAAUCAAGCCAGGGAGGUUUAGAGGGAGAUACUGUCAACAAAUAAAGGCAGAAAAACCAAGAUGAGCAGGGUAAACUGGUUCUCCAAAUACAGACUCUCAGGAGUAAAAGGAGAAGCAGAGUCACUCAGCCAAGUUUCACGUUGGAGAACUCCCAGUGCAGUGUAACCACCACGGCAGGCUUGGCACUAGUGUGUAUCACAUCCAGCAAAGGGGAGGGUGGAGCCCAGCUUCUGACAAUGAAGACUCCACAGAGUGGGGUUAGAGCAACAUGAGCUCACUCCCUAACAAAGAUCUGAAGAUUCAACAGAAUUACAAGUCAUGAAAAACAUUGUUAAUUCUCAUGUUUUAUUUUAAAGCUGAAGUUACAUAAAACAUAUCCUUUUAUGAACUAUGUAGCUUCUGUAAUUAGGCCAUGUGAAGAUAAAAUCAAAAGGUAUAAAGUUUCAGUUGUGCAAGAUGAAUAAAUUCUAGAGACCUGUGGGUAACCUACAGCAUAGAGCCCUUAGUUAAUAACAUUGUAUUGAAUACUUAAAAUGUUGCUAAGAGGGUAGAUCUUAAGUGUUUUUAUCAAAGAUAAAUGAACAAAUGAAUGAUUGAAUAAAUAAAUAAAGCAGGAAUAAACAUUUGAAGGUAAUGGUUUCAAGGAUAUAUGUUUAUCACCAAACUCAUAAAGUUGUAUACAUUAAACAUACAGAAAAAAAAUCAUCUGCUCUGGGGAAAAUGUGACGUAAUCUGCAUUAUGUCUCAUUUUUAAGAUAUUCUAAAAAACUUUUCAAUCCCAGGUCUGGAGAAGUGAUGAGUUGUGCAUCCUAAUCUGUCUUCACCUCUGCCAUUGACUGGGUAAAUCUAGUGCGAUCUUCUUUGCAGCUUCCCUGCCUGUCAAUGCAAUGAGCAUCUGGAACUGAUUGGUCUAUGAGGUUCUGCUGAACUCCACCAACUCAUGCUUCUAAUUCAUUCAUUCCUUCAUUAACGCAUUUGUUCAUUUGCAGAUAUUGGGGGCAUGCCCACGGCUCUCCGAGCACUCUCUUCAGCCAGCAUACUUUGACACUAAUAACUGUCAGGCAGAAUACCUCUUAUCUGCUACUCUCUUUUCAGCUCUGACUACCCCAGAUCAGGUGGUCUGUGAGGUCAACCUGUAUUUUUACACUCAGUCGUUAGCAGGAAAUGGCUCUGACAGCUACCCAGAAAUUCUGGUUAUGAGUCUGGUCUCCUCAUGUGCCCAGUUGCUUUGUGAGAGUCAAGCAAAUUUUUCCCAGUUAGGUCAUGCCCUCUGGUCUCUCCUCUGUUUGAUCCUUGUUGCCUAUGGAUUUCAGAAUCGUAUUUGUACCCAUGAUAUCUCUCACAUUCUCAGAGAGAGCACUGUUCUUGGUGGCUUUGGGGAGAAGAGGCCCCUUUACUGGCCUGUGGUCUUGCAGAAGAGUGAAUUGCUUAACAAUUUUAUUAUUAAAUUUAGAUUCUCUAUAGUAUAAAGUAUGCAGCUAGUUUUCCUAUUUAUCUGAUAUUUAAAGUCAAUGGAUAUUUUAAAAUUUUGGUUAAUUGUGUAGAUUGUGUUUGUAUAGCUGCAAACCAUAGAAGUAGCUGGUAAAACAUGCUUCCUGCUUUGUUAAACUGUUACAGUUAACUGACAUUACCUAGAAACAUGUUUAUCAUAACAUAAAAUAGAAUUUCACUGUUUCCAGUCACAUUUAAUGUCAUGAAAUGAAAAUUUAUUGAAUGUUUCUCUUACUCCUUUUUUUAUCAUAUUAAGUAUUAAUUUCUAAUGGCAAUUUUUAACUUUUUUCAUCUUGUGGCACAAGUAAACUAACUACUAAAAUUCUGCAGCACAACGAAAAUAUAUUUUUGCAAAUCUGACAAAAAGGGGUAUAAUUUUUAUUGAUUUGCAACAAUAAUAGUAGUAGUAAUUAUGUAGCCUUUCUGCUCCAGAGGGAUUUUCUAAAAAAAUCAGGCGCCUAUACUUGUGUGUAAGGAUUUCUGAUACAAAGAAUUAACCAAUCAGAUGUAUCUUUAUUAUGUGAUGGGAACAAAAAGAUGCAACUCUGUUAUAUGACCUAUGUAUGUGUGACUCAAGGCAGAGCCUUACAUCAGACAACUAUUGUUACGUUGGCUAUUAUCAGUUUUUAAUGGACAAGUUAAGGAAAAAGAAGUCAGUGCCCCUGACUAAACAGUAAGGUAUUGCAAGUUUCAAAAAUUCUUGUGACACCUCAGUUGAGAAUCAGAUUUACAACAAUAAAAGUAAGAAGAUUUUUGUAUUCCUAAAUUUUCUACAAUAAACAUGAAUUAUUGGUACAAAAAGGAAUGAAGGAAGGAAAAAAGAAAACACACAACCAAAGAAUUUCUAGUUUAACUGUUUUUUUGUUUAAUGUUGUUAUUGAAAAGAAUAAAAAUUACUUCCUAGCAACUUUUCUAGCUUCAUAAGGGAUCCUAGGAAUUUCAGUUCUGGUUCAAGACAAUAAACAUAAAAUCGAAGAUUCAUGUGAAUUUUUUCUAGAAUACAAAUACACAUAUAGAAUUCAGUCAGUCUGGGAGCUGAGUGUAGCGCAGCAGGAGGUUUUACACAGGAAGUCAUCAGUGCUCUGCCUUUUGGGGGUGCUGAAGGCAUAAGGGUUGUAGUGUUAUCGUUACCGAACAAGAGGUCCAAGGGGAGGGGGCAAUAUAAUAUUUGGCCCAUCUAGGGAUACCAAAACUGCUACACAACAGGGGCCCCUCCCAAGGACAGAAUACUAAAAUCUACUGGGCUCUUCUGUCUGCCACCAAUUGGAAAGACAUCUCUCAAUGCCAGAGAUUUGUGAAAAGGAAAGAAAAUGUUUAUUUAAUGCUAUUCAGGCCUAACACCACCACUAAAAUAGCAAAGUCCUUUAGGGUAUACUCCUACACCCCCACAGCGCUCCCUUCUCCCACUGUCCAAACUCUGGGUACCGUAAAUCAGGAAAAGAGCACAUGUCUGUGUUGCAGGCCGCUGGCACCGUCACCUGUGUCACCUUGCAGGCAGGAUCUCUCUCUAGUUAAUCCAAAGUACUGUGGUACCCUCUCACGGUCCACUGGCAAGAGUCCUUUGUACCCAGUUCCAGUCAA
Artibeus jamaicensis (Jamaican fruit-eating bat) is the source of this 6813-nucleotide long non-coding RNA. RefSeq lists it as uncharacterized. The record is from RefSeq and is a predicted model, not a curated record. The transcript is spliced from 3 exons. Lineage: Eukaryota; Metazoa; Chordata; Mammalia; Chiroptera; Phyllostomidae.